GCCCGCUUAGCUCAGUUGGUAGAGCAGGGGACUCUUAAUCCCAAGGUCACAGGUUCGACCCCUGUAGCGGGUA
Molecule: transfer RNA, 73 nt
Filed under: Candidatus Dormiibacterota bacterium
Lineage: Bacteria; Bacillati; Candidatus Dormiibacterota
Description: tRNA-Lys
Rfam family: tRNA
About the family: Transfer RNA (tRNA) molecules are approximately 80 nucleotides in length. Their secondary structure includes four short double-helical elements and three loops (D, anti-codon, and T loops). Further hydrogen bonds mediate the characteristic L-shaped molecular structure. tRNAs have two regions of fundamental functional importance: the anti-codon, which is responsible for specific mRNA codon recognition, and the 3' end, to which the tRNAs corresponding amino acid is attached (by aminoacyl-tRNA synthetases). tRNAs cope with the degeneracy of the genetic code in two manners: having more than one tRNA (with a specific anti-codon) for a particular amino acid; and 'wobble' base-pairing, i.e. permitting non-standard base-pairing at the 3rd anti-codon position.
Source: RNAcentral